UACGGAGGGUGCAAGCGUUAUCCGGAUUCACUGGGUUUAAAGGGUGCGUAGGUGGGCAGGUAAGUCCGUGGUGAAAUCCCUGAGCUUAACUCGGGAACUGCCAUGGAUACUAUUUGUCUUGAAUAUUGUGGAGGUAAGCGGAAUAUGUCGUGUAGCGGUGAAAUGCUUAGAUAUGACAUAGAACACCAAUUGCGAAGGCAGCUUACUACACAGUUAUUGACACUGAGGCACGAAAGCGUGGGGAUCAAACAGG
RNAcentral lists this ribosomal RNA (253 nucleotides) under uncultured bacterium. RNAcentral describes it as "partial 16S ribosomal RNA". It matches the Rfam family "Bacterial small subunit ribosomal RNA", at positions 524 to 776 of the family's 1533-position model. The record is from RNAcentral.